AGUAGGAGGAGUAAGAUAGUAUGUAUAUGUAUAAGU
Molecule: non-coding RNA, 36 nt
Filed under: Trypanosoma brucei brucei
Lineage: Eukaryota; Euglenozoa; Kinetoplastea; Trypanosomatida; Trypanosomatidae
Source: RNAcentral